AACGGAUUUAAAAUAAUUUCUGCUAUUUUUGAAAACAUUAUUUGAGAAACAUUUGUAAAGGAAGUACCUUUAAUUUAAUCUAGAUAUGAAGAAGCUCACAAAAGAAUGGAAAAUAAAGAAACACAAUCCUCAAAGUACAAAAACCAAGCAUUUUAUAAGUGGAAGCCCCAUAUGUGAAACUAAUGGUCUUUCAUUAAUUUCACCAGUUGUUUGUAAAAACACAGUGUCGUUAAGAAAAGGACAGGAGUCCAAUGUUCCACGUGGAAAUGAUAAUCAUCUUCGACAUUCACAGAGAUUACAACUGAAAGAUUCUAAUAAAUCAUUUGAGGACAAAAAGUCUGAUCAGG
Stegodyphus dumicola is the source of this 347-nucleotide long non-coding RNA. NCBI's taxonomy places the organism in Eukaryota, Metazoa, Arthropoda, Arachnida, Araneae, Eresidae. The record is from RefSeq and is a predicted model, not a curated record.